AACGAACGCUGGCGGCAUGCUUAACACAUGCAAGUCGAACGAUCCCUUCGGGGCUAGUGGCGCACGGGUGCGUAACGCGUGGGAACCUGCCCUUAGGUUCGGAAUAAAUCAGAGUAAUUUGAGCUCAUACCGGAUAAUGUCUUCGGACCAAAGAUUUAUCGCCUUUGGAUGGGCCCGCGUUGGAUUUGCUCGUUGGUGGGGUAAAGGCCUACCAAGGCGACGAUCCAUAGCUGGUCUGAGCGGAGGAUCAGCCACACUGGGACUGAGACACGGCCCAGACUCCGACGGGGGGCAGCGGUGGAGAAUAUUGUACAAGGGACGAAAGCCUGAUCCAGCAGUGCGGCGUGAGUGAGGAAGGCCUUAGGGUUGUAAAUCUCUUUUACCCGAGAUGAUAAUGACGGUACCGGGAGAAUAAGCCCCGGCUAACUCCGUG
RNAcentral lists this ribosomal RNA (433 nucleotides) under uncultured bacterium. RNAcentral describes it as "partial 16S ribosomal RNA". It matches the Rfam family "Bacterial small subunit ribosomal RNA", at positions 29 to 507 of the family's 1533-position model. The record is from RNAcentral.